This 492-nucleotide ribosomal RNA is filed under the name uncultured bacterium. Its description in RNAcentral is "partial 16S ribosomal RNA". It matches the Rfam family "Bacterial small subunit ribosomal RNA", at positions 29 to 507 of the family's 1533-position model. The record is from RNAcentral.
AGUGAACGCUGGCGGUAGGCCUAACACAUGCAAGUCGAACGGCAGCACAGUAAGAGCUUGCUCUUACGAGUGGCGAGUGGCGGACGGGUGAGGAAUACAUCGGAAUCUACUUUUUCGUGGGGGAUAACGUAGGGAAACUUACGCUAAUACCGCAUACGACCUACGGGUGAAAGCAGGGGAUCUUCGGACCUUGCGCGAUUGAAUGAGCCGAUGUCGGAUUAGCUAGUUGGCGGGGUAAAGGCCCACCAAGGCGACGAUCCGUAGCUGGUCUGAGAGGAUGAUCAGCCACACUGGAACUGAGACACGGUCCAGACUCCUACGGGAGGCAGCAGUGGGGAAUAUUGGACAAAGGGCGCAAGCCUGAUCCAGCCAUACCGCGUGAGUGAAGAAGGCCUUCGGGUUGUAAAGCCCUUUUGUUGGGAAAGAAAAGCAGCGGGUUAAUACCCCGCUGUUCUGACGGUACCCAAAGAAUAAGCACCGGCUAACUUCGUG